Molecule: long non-coding RNA, 1230 nt
Filed under: Anser brachyrhynchus (Pink-footed goose)
Lineage: Eukaryota; Metazoa; Chordata; Aves; Anseriformes; Anatidae
Description: lncRNA (ENSABRG00000002783.1)
Source: RNAcentral
CGGCGGGGGCACGGCGGGUGCCAGCGCCCGGCCCCACCUUCCCCCCCCUCGUAGGGGCAGCCUCUAAUCCCUCUAAUCACUGGCGUUACAAUUAAAAAAAAAAAAAAAAGCCAUCCCCUGUUACUUAGCUAUGAAGCCGAUUCUUUUUCUUUCCGUGCGAUUUCAUCUGGGGUUCCUCGGACGUUGUUGCCCUCCCCUUCUGUGUGCUGCCCGCCUUGCUCUGGUUUCUGGGGUAUUGUGCCCUGCCUGGAAUGCUCGUCCGCUCCGGGGGGAAGAAAAUCAUUUUUCUUAUGCUGACAAUGGCUGUAAUCACAUUACAGGUAAAGGGUUCAAAGGUUAUUUUUCCAAACAAAGAAUAGAAGAAAAAACUGCACAGCAGUCCCUUUCCACUGUAGAAGAUAGUGACAUAUUAUUCCUUUCAAUUCCAGGUUGUGCUUCAUUGCUUUCGAAAUAGAUAUACUUGGGACAUAUGCCCAAACCCAAGAUGUGGUCAAUGUGCUCCUAGGAUUAUUUUGUUGCUAAAGAGCUUUUUUUGCCAGAGAAAGAAUUAUCCAAGACAGAUGCUACUGUGAUAAACAGCUUGAUACUUGCUACCCUAGAUGCUGAAAAGUUUAAUAUGGUAAGAAUGUAACAGUGUCAGGAUCAUAAAUGCAUAACUUGUUCACCUUAGAAAUAUAUGGGAGGUAAUACUUGAUAAAAGAUACCUCCACAAGUUUCUUGGGUGAAUGGCAAAACUGAAUAGCUAAAUUAUUAUCACUGUUUAUGCAGGUCUGGAUUUGUAAAUGACCGGUUAUAUCAGCAAUGCCCAGCUUGAAGCACAUUGAGAAGUGCCUUGUUUUCCACAUGUGCUGGGCAUUCAUCCUGCUAAAACCAGGCUGUAUGCACACUUGACCCAAAGCCAAGUUUUAUUUAUAUGUUAGAGAAACUGUAAGGUGAACUUUGGGUACGUUCUUGUGAUUAGAGGAAAGCCUGGAUGGAAAGCCUGAUCUUGUGUUACAGGCCUGUCUUCCCAGCCAGGGACCUUCAGGGUGUGAUCCAUCCCAUGUAAGGUCUUUGAAAUAAGCAUAGUUGUACUGUGUAAUGUGUGGUCAAUAGGACAAACAUAGACUGCUGAACCAGUGUAGUGGCUUCUAGGAGGCUCUUUCAGGCUGUUACCACGCCCAUCAUCUUAGCAAUAUCCACUGAGUAGAUGUAUAUGAAACAAUUAAUAAAAAUUUUAGUACACCCUCA